AAGACUAUUUUCAGGGAUCAUUUCUAUAGUUCAUUACUGGAGAAAUUUCUCUGAACCAGAAAACACCAGGAGGAGGUACAGCAUUUUCCAGAGCAUGAAGCCAGCACUUGGUGUUGCUUCACUGCAAUCGCCAUUUGCCAUUGACGAUGGUGAGUGGUUCCUGUUUAAAAAAAAAAAAAAAAAAAGCUUCCCAA
Molecule: small nucleolar RNA, 194 nt
Filed under: Microcebus murinus (gray mouse lemur)
Lineage: Eukaryota; Metazoa; Chordata; Mammalia; Primates; Cheirogaleidae
Description: Small nucleolar RNA U3 (ENSMICG00000022947.3)
Rfam family: Small nucleolar RNA U3
About the family: Small nucleolar RNAs (snoRNAs) are involved in the processing and modification of rRNA in the nucleolus. There are two main classes of snoRNAs: the box C/D class, and the box H/ACA class. U3 snoRNA is a member of the box C/D class.
Source: Rfam by way of RNAcentral